RNAcentral lists this unclassified non-coding RNA (430 nucleotides) under soil metagenome. RNAcentral's name for it is "partial contains 5.8S ribosomal RNA, internal transcribed spacer 2, and large subunit ribosomal RNA". The stretch from base 1 to 120 matches the Rfam family "5.8S ribosomal RNA", at positions 35 to 154 of the family's 154-position model. The record is from RNAcentral.
GAUGAAGAACGCAGCGAAAUGCGAUACGUAAUGUGAAUUGCAGAAUUCAGUGAAUCAUCGAAUCUUUGAACGCAUAUUGCGCUCUCUGGUAUUCCGGAGAGCAUGCUUGUUUGAGUAUCAGUAAACACCUCAACUCCCUUUUCUUUUUUGAAAUUGGAGCUGGACUUGAGUGAUCCCAACGCUUUCUUCCAAGAAAGUGGCGGGUUGCUUGAAUUGCAGGUGCAGCUGAACUUUUCUCUGAGCUAUAAGCAUAUCUAUUUAGUCUGCCUAAAAAACAGAUUAUUACCUUUGCUGCAGCUAACAUAAAGGAGACUAGUUCUUGUGCUGACUGAUGCAGGAUUCACAGAGACAGCUUCGGCUGACUUUGUAAACUCGAUCUCAAAUCAAGUAAGACUACCCGCUGAACUUAAGCAUAUCAAUAAGCGGAGGA